UAGCCCUGCUAGUUGUGCGGGUUUAGACCCGCAGCGGAAAGCUCAGUAACACGUGGCCAAGCUACCCUGUGGACGGGAAUACUCUCGGGAAACUGAGGCUAAUCCCCGAUAACGCUUUGCUCCUGGAAGGGGCAAAGCCGGAAACGCUCCGGCGCCACAGGAUGCGGCUGCGGUCGAUUAGGUAGACGGUGGGGUAACGGCCCACCGUGCCCAUAAUCGGUACGGGUUGUGAGAGCAAGAGCCCGGAGACGGAAUCUGAGACAAGAUUCCGGGCCCUACGGGGCGCAGCAGGCGCGAAACCUUUACACUGUACGAAAGUGCGAUAAGGGGACUCCGAGUGUGAAGGCAUAGAGCCUUCACUUUUGUACACCGUAAGGUGGUGCACGAAUAAGGACUGGGCAAGACCGGUGCCAGCCGCCGCGGUAAUACCGGCAGUCCGAGUGAUGGCCGAUCUUAUUGGGCCUAAAGCGUCCGUAGCUGGCUGAACAAGUCCGUUGGGAAAUCUGUCCGCUUAACGGGCAGGCGUCCAGCGGAAACUGUUCAGCUUGGGACCGGAAGACCUGAGGGGUACGUCUGGGGUAGGAGUGAAAUCCUGUAAUCCUGGACGGACCGCCGGUGGCGAAAGCGCCUCAGGAGAACGGAUCCGACAGUGAGGGACGAAAGCUAGGGUCUCGAACCGGAUUAGAUACCCGGGUAGUCCUAGCUGUAAACGAUGUCCGCUAGGUGUGGCGCAGGCUACGAGCCUGCGCUGUGCCGUAGGGAAGCCGAGAAGCGGACCGCCUGGGAAGUACGUCUGCAAGGAUGAAACUUAAAGGAAUUGGCGGGGGGAGCACUACAACCGG
This 842-nucleotide ribosomal RNA is filed under the name Halobacterium salinarum. Its description in RNAcentral is "bacterial SSU rRNA". It matches the Rfam family "Archaeal small subunit ribosomal RNA", at positions 46 to 888 of the family's 1478-position model. Lineage: Archaea; Methanobacteriati; Methanobacteriota; Halobacteria; Halobacteriales; Halobacteriaceae. The record is from RNAcentral.